Long non-coding RNA from Chelonia mydas (Green sea turtle), 432 nucleotides. RefSeq lists it as uncharacterized. The record is from RefSeq and is a predicted model, not a curated record. The transcript is spliced from 3 exons. Lineage: Eukaryota; Metazoa; Chordata; Testudines; Cheloniidae.
CUGUUGGCUGGAAGGGAAUUUACAGUGCUUCUUGUAGCUGGGGGAGAAAUCUGGGGGUGGGUCUGACCCGGCCCCAGAAGCCAUGCAGGGGAAGAGGAAGUCCUGUCCUCUUCAGCCUAGCCGGGACUAGCAGUUGAGCCCGGCACAGCGUAGGAGCCACCAGCCAGAUCUUCCCCAGUCCCGGCCCCUGCCCCACAAUGAUUUAGCUCUCUGCCGGCUACCCUGGGCAUCCGAAAUAUACUGCUAGGGAGGGUCGCAUGACCACUCUUGUGGCUUCCCCUUGCUUCCCCGUCAGAAAGUCAUUUUUCUGCAGGGAAGGAAAGAAAUCUGCAGGGGACAUAAAUUCUGUGCAUACAUAGUGGCACAGAAUUCCUCCAAGAGUAAAUAACACUCUGAUCUUCCAAUAUGUUUGUAUUUCAAUUAACAGUAUCU